RNAcentral lists this long non-coding RNA (1077 nucleotides) under Salmo salar (Atlantic salmon). RNAcentral's name for it is "lncRNA (ENSSSAG00000111032.1)". The record is from RNAcentral. Lineage: Eukaryota; Metazoa; Chordata; Actinopteri; Salmoniformes; Salmonidae.
CAGUUCAGUGUGUUAUAGUGUCUCUAGGAGGUGAACUACUGUAACAGUUCAGUGUGUUAUAGUGUCUCUAUGCGGUGAACUACUGUAACAGUUCAGUGUGUUAUAGUGUCUCUAGGAGGUGAACUACUGUAACAGUUCAGUGUGUUCUAGUGUCUCUCUCUAUGUAGUGAACUACUGUAACAGUUCAGUGUGUUCUAGUGUCUCUCUCUAUGUAGUGAACUACUGUAACAGUUCAGUGUGUUAUAGUUUAUCUAGUAGGUGAAAUACUGUAACAGUUCAGUGUGUUACAGUGCCUCUACCCUUUUGGUGAAAUACUGUAACAGUUCAGUGUUUUAUAGUGUCUCUUGGAGGUGAACUACUGUAACAGUUCAGUGUAUUAUACUGUCUCUAGGAGGUGAACUACUGUAACAGUUCAGUGUGUUAUAGUGUCGCUAUCUUGGAGGUGAACUACUGUAACAUUUCAGUGUGUUAUAGUGUCUCUAGGAGAUGUACUACUGUAACAGUUCAGUGUGUUCUAGUGUCUCUCUCUAUGUAGUGAACUACUGUAACAGUUCAGUGUGUUAUAGUGUCUCUAGGAGGUGAACUACUGCAACAGUUCAGUGUGUUAUAGUGUCUCUAGGAGGUGAACUACUGUAACAGUUCAGUGUGUUUUAGUGUCUCUAGGAGGUGAACUACUGAAACAGUUCAGUGUGUUAUAGUGUCUCUUGGAGGUGAACUACUGAAAAGUUCAGUGUGUUAUAGUGUCACUAGGAGGUGAACUACUGUUACAGUUAAGUGUGUUAUAGUGUCACCAUCCAGGAGGUGAACUACUGUAACAGCUGUGUGUUAUAUUGUCUCUAGGAGGUGAACUACAGUAACAAUUCUGUGUGUUAUAGUGUCUCUAUCCUGUUGGUGAACUACUGUAACAGUACAGUGUGUUAUAGUGUCACUAGGAGGUGAAACACUGUAACAGUUCAGUGUGUUAUAGUGUCUCUAGGAGGUGAACUACUGUAACAGUUCAGUGUGUUAUAGUGUCUCUAUGCGGUGAACUACUGUAACAGUUCAGUGUGUUUUAGUGAGUUUGUUAUAGUGUCACUA